RNAcentral lists this ribosomal RNA (468 nucleotides) under uncultured bacterium. RNAcentral describes it as "partial 16S ribosomal RNA". It matches the Rfam family "Bacterial small subunit ribosomal RNA", at positions 28 to 507 of the family's 1533-position model. The record is from RNAcentral.
GACGAACGCUGGCGGCGUGCUUAACACAUGCAAGUCGAACGGAAAGGCCAUGCGUUUGCGGGGUGCUCGAGUGGCGAACGGGUGAGUAACACGUGAGUAACAUGCCCUUGACUGUGGGAUAACUUCAGGAAACUGGGGCUAAUACCGGAUAGGAGCUCCUGCUGCAUGGUGGGGGUUGGAAAGUUUCGGCGGUGGGGGCUGGACUCGCGGCUUAUCAGCUUGUUGGUGGGGUAGUGGAGUACCAAGGUUAUGACGGGUAGCCGGCCUGAGAGGGUGACCGGGGACAUUGGGACUAAGGUACGGCCCAGACUCCUACGGGAGGCAGCAGUGGGGAAUAUUGCACAAUGGGCGGAAGUCUGAUGCAGCAACGCUGCGUGCGGGAUGACGGCCUUCGGGUUGUAAACCGCUUUCUCCUGUGACGAAGCGUGAGUGACGGUAAUGGGUAAAGAAGCACCGGCUAACUACGUG